RNAcentral lists this ribosomal RNA (433 nucleotides) under uncultured bacterium. RNAcentral describes it as "partial 16S ribosomal RNA". It matches the Rfam family "Bacterial small subunit ribosomal RNA", at positions 29 to 507 of the family's 1533-position model. The record is from RNAcentral.
AACGAACGCUGGCGGCAUGCCUAACACAUGCAAGUCGAACGAGACCUUCGGGUCUAGUGGCGCACGGGUGCGUAACGCGGGAGAACCUGCCCUUAGGUUCGGAAUAACUCCCCGAAAGGGGUGCUAAUACCGGAUAAUGUCUUCGGACCAAAGAUUUAUCGCCUUUGGAUGGGCCCGGGUUGGAUUAGCUAGUUGGUAGGGUAAAAGCCUACCAAGGCGACGAUCCAUAGCUGGUCGGAGAGGAUGACCAGCCACACUGGGAAUGAGACACGGCCCAGACUCCUACGGGAGGCAGCAGUAGAGAAUAUUGGACAAUGGGCGAAAGCCUGAUCCAGCAAUGCCGCGUGAGUGAUGAAGGCCUUAGGGUUGUAAAGCUCUUUUACCCGGGAUGAUAAUGACAGUACCGGGAGAAUAAGCUCCGGCUAACUACGUG